AGAGUUUGAUCAUGGCUCAGGACGAACGCUGGCGGCGUGCUUAACACAUGCAAGUCGAACGAAGAGCGAUGGAAGCUUGCUUCUAUCAAUCUUAGUGGCGAACGGGUGAGUAACGCGUAAUCAACCUGCCCUUCAGAGGGGGACAACAGUUGGAAACGACUGCUAAUACCGCAUACGAUUUAAUCUCGGCAUCGAGGAUAGAUGAAAGGUGGCCUCUACAUGUAAGCUAUCACUGAAGGAGGGGAUUGCGUCUGAUUAGCUAGUUGGAGGGGUAACGGCCCACCAAGGCGAUGAUCAGUAGCCGGUCUGAGAGGAUGAACGGCCACAUUGGGACUGAGACACGGCCCAGACUCCUACGGGAGGCAGCAGUGGGGAAUCUUCCGCAAUGGGCGCAAGCCUGACGGAGCAACGCCGCGUGAGUGAAGAAGGUCUUCGGAUCGUAAAGCUCUGUUGUUGGGGACGAAAGGGAAGGGGAGGAAAUGCCCUUUUUAAGACGGUACCCGACGAGCAAGCCACGGCUAACUACGUGCCAGCAGCCGCGGU
RNAcentral lists this ribosomal RNA (543 nucleotides) under Veillonella sp. oral clone 13-17. RNAcentral describes it as "bacterial SSU rRNA". It matches the Rfam family "Bacterial small subunit ribosomal RNA", at positions 8 to 521 of the family's 1533-position model. The record is from RNAcentral. Lineage: Bacteria; Bacillati; Bacillota; Negativicutes; Veillonellales; Veillonellaceae.